AUAAUUACCUGGCUGGAGAUAUACAUUAAUCAAGAAGAUGGUUCUCCUGGUUCAGCAAUUACACUCCAGUUGUGCUGACCCCUGUGAAUUCCCCAGAUGUGGGAAUUGCGACUGUAUAAUUUUGGGUAGUGGGGUACUGCAUUUGUGCUUUUCCCAG
Molecule: small nuclear RNA, 157 nt
Filed under: Mola mola (ocean sunfish)
Lineage: Eukaryota; Metazoa; Chordata; Actinopteri; Tetraodontiformes; Molidae
Description: U1 spliceosomal RNA (ENSMMOG00000000681.1)
Rfam family: U1 spliceosomal RNA
About the family: U1 is a small nuclear RNA (snRNA) component of the spliceosome (involved in pre-mRNA splicing). Its 5' end forms complementary base pairs with the 5' splice junction, thus defining the 5' donor site of an intron.
Source: Rfam by way of RNAcentral